UUGACCUCAAAUCAGGUAGACAGCCCACC
This 29-nucleotide ribosomal RNA is filed under the name Candida albicans. RNAcentral describes it as "partial 28S ribosomal RNA". The record is from RNAcentral. Lineage: Eukaryota; Fungi; Ascomycota; Pichiomycetes; Serinales; Debaryomycetaceae.